GAAUUUAGUGUAAAAUAGUAGAACGAGGAUUUUUGAAGUCCUAGGUGUGGGU
Molecule: transfer RNA, 52 nt
Filed under: Rhynchocyon cirnei (checkered elephant shrew)
Lineage: Eukaryota; Metazoa; Chordata; Mammalia; Macroscelidea; Macroscelididae
Description: partial tRNA-Gln
Source: RNAcentral